Molecule: long non-coding RNA, 438 nt
Filed under: Solanum tuberosum (potato)
Lineage: Eukaryota; Viridiplantae; Streptophyta; Magnoliopsida; Solanales; Solanaceae
Description: long non-coding RNA (STUB_LNC003298)
Source: RNAcentral
UUGAUAUGACCGGAUGUCAUUUUCGGUGUAAAAUGUUAAACAAUAUAUAUUAAAAAAUUAAUGAUGAUAUUAACAUAUGGAGUGUGUUUUGAUGAAUUUUGGCGUGGUAAAGAUCAAUAGACGUCGAAGCAAGUAUUAUGAAGUUAAAAGUUAAAAUAACUAUUAAAAGAAGUAGCUCAUACAGUUUUUCUCAUGAAAACUAUUCUCUGUAAACAAAAUACCAGAAAAUACAACAACAGCAGUGAUGUAUGUAAUCGGUCAGGGGAGAGUAGGAUGUAUGCACACUUUGCAUCUAACUUUGCGGGAUAGAGAGGUUGUUCAAAAUAAGUGUAAUCAAAGCAGGGUUGAAAGGAAAAUACUGAAUUUCAAAAUAACAAUAUAAACAGAAUACAUAAAAAAAACUACAACGAGGCAUCGGAGAGGAGAAAGAUUAACUUG